RNAcentral lists this ribosomal RNA (467 nucleotides) under uncultured bacterium. RNAcentral describes it as "partial 16S ribosomal RNA". It matches the Rfam family "Bacterial small subunit ribosomal RNA", at positions 28 to 506 of the family's 1533-position model. The record is from RNAcentral.
GACGAACGCUGGCGGCGUGCUUAACACAUGCCAGUCGAACGGAAAGGCCCUGCUUUUGUGGGGUGCUCGAGUGGCGAACGGGUGAGUAACACGUGAGUAACCUGCCCUUGACUUUGGGAUAACUUCAGGAAACUGGGGCUAAUACCGGAUAGGAGCUCCUGCUGCAUGGUGGGGGUUGGAAAGUUUCGGCGGUUGUGGAUGGACUCGCGGCUUAUCAGCUUGUUGGUGGGGUAGUGGCUUACCAAGGCUUUGACGGGUAGCCGGCCUGGGAGGGUGACCGGCCACAUUGGGACUGGGGAGCCACCCGGAGUCCUACGGGAGGAAGGAGCGGGGAAUAUUGCACAAGGGGCGGAGGCCGGAUGCAGCAGCGCCGCGUGGGGGAGGACGGCCUUCGGGUUGUAAACCGCUUUCGCCUGUGACGAAGCGUGGGGAACGGAAAUGGGUAAAGAGGCACGGGCUAACUAGGU